CAAUUUGGAGGAAGACAUUGAUCGGGGUGUCCGUAGGGAACAUCUCUUGACAUCUCAAGGACUUUAACCUUGCCACGGCUUUCUGUUCGGAAACCUCACUGGACAUCACUCUCAUGAUUGCCAAAAGUAUGGCUCUGUCUGUGGCCUCUAGAAGCGCUUUAUGGCUUCAUUCGUGGGGAGCGGACUAUGCAUCUAAGGCAUCCUUGUGUGGCCUUCCC
Non-coding RNA from Pelobates cultripes (western spadefoot toad), 218 nucleotides. The record is from the annotation of a GenBank genome assembly. NCBI's taxonomy places the organism in Eukaryota, Metazoa, Chordata, Amphibia, Anura, Pelobatidae.